CAUUGAAUGAUCCCUUCGGGGUGAUUUCGAUCGGAUUAGCGGCGAACGGGUGAGUAACGCGUGAGGAACCUGCCUCUUACAACGGGAUAGCCUCGGGAAACCGGGAUUAAUACCGUAUAAGACUCCGACAUCUCCUGAUGAUGAAGUCAAAGCGUUAGCGGUAAGAGAUGGCCUCGCGUCUGAUUAGCUAGUUGGCGGGGUAACGGCCCACCAAGGCGACGAUCAGUAACCGGCCUGAGAGGGUGAACGGUCACAUUGGAACUGAGACACGGUCCAAACUCCUACGGGAGGCAGCAGUGGGGAAUCUUGCACAAUGGGGGAAACCCUGAUGCAGCGACGCCGCGUGAGCGAUGAAGGUUUUCGAAUCGUAAAGCUCUGUCCUAUGGGAAGAUAAUGACGGUACCAUGGGAGGAAGCCCCGGCUAACUACGUGCCAGCAGCCGCGGUAAUACGUAGGGGGCGAGCGUUGUCCGGAAUUACUGGGCGUAAAGGGUUCGCAGGCGGCAUGGCAAGUCCGAUGUAAAAGGCGAAGGCUCAACCUUCGUAAGCAUCGGAAACUGUCAAGCUUGAGUGAAGGAGAGGCAAGUGGAAUUCCUAGUGUAGCGGUGGAAUGCGUAGAUAUUAGGAGGAAUACCGGUGGCGAAGGCGG
RNAcentral lists this ribosomal RNA (648 nucleotides) under uncultured Eubacteriales bacterium. Its description in RNAcentral is "bacterial SSU rRNA". It matches the Rfam family "Bacterial small subunit ribosomal RNA", at positions 64 to 724 of the family's 1533-position model. The record is from RNAcentral. Lineage: Bacteria; Bacillati; Bacillota; Clostridia; Eubacteriales.